GCAACAUGUCAUAUUUAUGACCAGAUACUAUGUUAAGCCUUUUCUCAAACUAAUGCUUAUUAUUGACACAUCGAAAUUCAAAGAAAAUGACAUAAUAUUGGGAUAAAAGGGAUUUGAAGUAGCAUCAAAGGCAAAAGACAUGGUGACCUGCAAAUGUCACAUCCCAGCAAAAUAUUCCUAUACGAACCCAGCUGGUAAUACAACAAACAAAAUACCACGAGGCCAUCAGAACUGGAAGGUUUGUGAUUAUGGAUGGAAAAUGUCCAUUACCAACAGUAUUUCUAAUUUCAAAUCCAGACAAGACCUUACUCAACAAAUAAGCAAGUUAUUUCCAUAAAUCCACAGGAAUGCAUCAGCUUGGAGUCUGAGGCCAUUUACCUUGGAUCGGGUGGUUUGUCGCAGAAUGAUUAAAAGACUUAUUUUCAAAGACCUAUUACUGGAAAGCAAUGUGUUUUUCAUUUAAAAAAAAAAAAAACUAAUCAGAGAAAAAAAAUAACAAAUCAGAGAAAUUUUUUUACAGAAACCAAUCUGAAUAGCGGGGUGUUCCUGCACACAAAACACCCUUCAUGAUGUUCAAGCCCCCUCCCCCUCCCCCUACCUCUGUGUAUCUGCCUACCCUCACUUUGGUCCUUGAUACUCUUCUUCACCCAUCACCCAUCACCCUUUCACCCAUCCCCCCUGCCCGUAGCUCUCCACGCACACCUCUGCCAGUCUGAGGGCCUGAAUUAUUUCUCAUCUCAUGAAAGAAUCAUCUGUGAGCCCCUUUGAUACUGUCAGCUUCAGCGUCUGGAAGCGUCCACGUUCAUUAGCAUUUCCCCAUUCUGAGAGUUUGUCAGAAGUGAUUAGCACAGCACCAUUAACUAGAGAACACAGAGGAGGAGGAAGAAGGGAGAUUGGGAGUGAGCUGGAUGGAGCUACGAUGUUGUUGUGCUUCAUGGCUUCAUGGCUGUCUGCUCAAACUUCUCUCCCGGCUUGGAAUCUCCCAUUUGGCCAGUUAAUAAAAGCAGACAACCACGGCAGGCACUGUGCGAGAAGCAACCAAAUCAAUUGACCCGUGCCCAAGGUCAACUCCCAGGCAGCAACUUCCAGUGGCAAACUAGCAACUCGGCACAGGGCCCUUUGCGUGGGCAAGAUGCUCUCACCCUGACCCCUUCUCCGAGGUGCGGCGCGCGAUGGCUCCUCUAAUUACAGUCAGGCCCCAGCCUCACCAGUGCCACAGAUUCCCCCCCGUGUUUCUUCUCCUCCUCGUGUGUAUAUCAGCCUCUCAGGACCAUGAUCUCUCCUCUGCCUUCCACCCACAACCUCUGAUGAAUUAGCUUGAGUGAAAGAAUAUGUCUUUAAUAGCUCCCACUUUUCCAAUGUCUGCACGCCAAAAAGCAUCCACAC
Long non-coding RNA from Clupea harengus (Atlantic herring), 1386 nucleotides. Lineage: Eukaryota; Metazoa; Chordata; Actinopteri; Clupeiformes; Clupeidae. The record is from Ensembl.